AUUGAACGCUGGCGGCAUGCCUUACACAUGCAAGUCGAGCGGCAGCGCGGGGGCAACCCUGGCGGCGAGCGGCGAACGGGUGAGUAAUACAUCGGAACGUGUCCAGUAGCGGGGGAUAACCUGUCGAAAGAUAGGCUAAUACCGCAUACGACCUACGGGUGAAAGCGGGGACCGCAAGGCCUCGCACUAUUGGAGCGGCCGAUGUCGGAUUAGCUAGUUGGCGGGGUAACGGCCCACCAAGGCGACGAUCCGUAGCUGGUCUGAGAGGACGACCAGCCACACUGGAACUGAGACACGGUCCAGACUCCUACGGGAGGCAGCAGUGGGGAAUUUUGGACAAUGGGCGCAAGCCUGAUCCAGCCAUGCCGCGUGAGUGAAG
RNAcentral lists this ribosomal RNA (379 nucleotides) under uncultured bacterium. RNAcentral's name for it is "bacterial SSU rRNA". It matches the Rfam family "Bacterial small subunit ribosomal RNA", at positions 29 to 410 of the family's 1533-position model. The record is from RNAcentral.